UACGGGGGGGGCAAGCGUUGUUCGGAAUUACUGGGCGUAAAGGGCUCGUAGGUGGCCAAUUAAGUCAGACGUGAAAUCCCCAGGCUCAACUUGGGAACUGCGUCUGAUACUGGUUGGCUUGAAUUCGGGAGAGGGAUGCAGAAUUCCAGGUGUAGCGGUGAAAUGCGUAGAUAUCGGGAGGAACACCAGUAGCGAAGGCGGCUCGCUGGGCCGUUCCUGACGCUGAGACGCGAAAGCUAGGGGAGCGAACAGG
This 253-nucleotide ribosomal RNA is filed under the name uncultured bacterium. RNAcentral's name for it is "partial 16S ribosomal RNA". It matches the Rfam family "Bacterial small subunit ribosomal RNA", at positions 524 to 776 of the family's 1533-position model. The record is from RNAcentral.